RNAcentral lists this ribosomal RNA (544 nucleotides) under uncultured Eurotiomycetes. RNAcentral's name for it is "SSU rRNA". It matches the Rfam family "Eukaryotic small subunit ribosomal RNA", at positions 548 to 1098 of the family's 1831-position model. Lineage: Eukaryota; Fungi; Ascomycota; Eurotiomycetes. The record is from RNAcentral.
UUGGAGGGCAAGUCUGGUGCCAGCAGCCGCGGUAAUUCCAGCUCCAAUAGCGUAUAUUAAAGUUGUUGCAGUUAAAAAGCUCGUAGUUGAACUUUGGGUCUGGCUGGCCGGUCCGCCUCACCGCGAGUACUGGUCCGGCUGGACCUUUCCUUCUGGGGAACCUCAUGGCCUUCACUGGCUGUGGGGGGAACCAGGACUUUUACUGUGAAAAAAUUAGAGUGUUCAAAGCAGGCCUUUGCUCGAAUACAUUAGCAUGGAAUAAUAAAAUAGGACGUGCGGUUCUAUUUUGUUGGUUUCUAGGACCGCCGUAAUGAUUAAUAGGGAUAGUCGGGGGCGUCAGUAUUCAGCUGUCAGAGGUGAAAUUCUUGGAUUUGCUGAAGACUAACUACUGCGAAAGCAUUCGCCAAGGAUGUUUUCAUUAAUCAGGGAACGAAAGUUAGGGGAUCGAAGACGAUCAGAUACCGUCGUAGUCUUAACCAUAAACUAUGCCGACUAGGGAUCGGACGGGCUUCUAUGAUGACCCGUUCGGCGCCUUACGGGAAAC